This 253-nucleotide ribosomal RNA is filed under the name uncultured bacterium. Its description in RNAcentral is "partial 16S ribosomal RNA". It matches the Rfam family "Bacterial small subunit ribosomal RNA", at positions 524 to 776 of the family's 1533-position model. The record is from RNAcentral.
UACGUAGGGUGCGAGCGUUAAUCGGAAUUACUGGGCGUAAAGAGCGCGUAGGCGGUCCGGUAAGUCGGUUGUGAAAACUGGGGGCUCAACCCUCAGAGGCCGACCGAUACUGCUGGGCUAGAGUCCGGAAGAGGCGAGUGGAAUUCCUGGUGUAGCGGUGAAAUGCGCAGAUAUCAGGAGGAACACCAAUGGCGAAGGCAGCGCGCUGGGACGGUACUGACGCUGAGGCGCGAAAGCCAGGGGAGCAAACGGG